Molecule: ribosomal RNA, 425 nt
Filed under: uncultured bacterium
Lineage: Bacteria
Description: partial 16S ribosomal RNA
Rfam family: Bacterial small subunit ribosomal RNA
Source: RNAcentral
GUGGGGAAUAUUGGACAAUGGGCGCAAGCCUGAUCCAGCCAUGCCGCGUGAGUGAUGAAGGCCUUAGGGUUGUAAAGCUCUUUUGUCCGGGAAGAUAAUGACUGUACCGGAAGAAUAAGCCCCGGCUAACUUCGUGCCAGCAGCCGCGGUAAUACGAAGGGGGCUAGCGUUGUUCGGAAUCACUGGGCGUAAAGCGCACGUAGGCGGACCAUUAAGUCAGGGGUGAAAGCCUGGAGCUCAACUCCAGAACUGCCUUUGAUACUGAUGGUCUCGAGUAUGGAAGAGGUUGGUGGAACUGCGAGUGUAGAGGUGGAAUUCGUAGAUAUUAGGAAGAACACCAGUGGCGAAGGCGGCUUACUGGUCCGGAACUGACGCUGAGGUGCGAAAGCGUGGGGAGCAAACAGGAUUAGAAACCCGAGUAGUCC